GUGGCGAGACGGGUGAGUAAUGUCUGGGAAACUGCCCGAUGGAGGGGGAUAACUACUGGAAACGGUAGCUAAUACCGCAUAAUGUCGCAAGACCAAAGAGGGGGACCUUCGGGCCUCUUGCCAUCAGAUGUGCCCAGAUGGGAUUAGCUUGUUGGUGAGGUAACGGCUCACCAAGGCGACGAUCCCUAGCUGGUCUGAGAGGAUGACCAGCCACACUGGAACUGAGACACGGUCCAGACUCCUACGGGAGGCAGCAGUGGGGAAUAUUGCACAAUGGGCGCAAGCCUGAUGCAGCCAUGCCGCGUGUAUGAAGAAGGCCUUCGGGUUGUAAAGUACUUUCAGCGGGGAGGAAGGAGUUAAGGUUAAUAACCUCAGCGAUUGACGUUACCCGCAGAAGAAGCACCGGCUAACUCCGUGCCAGCAGCCGCGGUAAUACGGAGGGUGCAAGCGUUAAUCGGAAUUACUGGGCGUAAAGCGCACGCAGGCGGUCUGUCAAGUCGGAUGUGAAAUCCCCGGGCUCAACCUGGGAACUGCAUUCGAAACUGGCAGGCUUGAGUCUCGUAGAGGGGGGUAGAAUUCCAGGUGUAGCGGUGAAAUGCGUAGAGAUCUGGAGGAAUACCGGUGGCGAAGGCGGCCCCCUGGACGAAGACUA
This 652-nucleotide ribosomal RNA is filed under the name Citrobacter sp. INBio2894A. RNAcentral describes it as "bacterial SSU rRNA". It matches the Rfam family "Bacterial small subunit ribosomal RNA", at positions 95 to 742 of the family's 1533-position model. The record is from RNAcentral. Lineage: Bacteria; Pseudomonadati; Pseudomonadota; Gammaproteobacteria; Enterobacterales; Enterobacteriaceae.